This 254-nucleotide ribosomal RNA is filed under the name uncultured bacterium. RNAcentral's name for it is "partial 16S ribosomal RNA". It matches the Rfam family "Bacterial small subunit ribosomal RNA", at positions 524 to 776 of the family's 1533-position model. The record is from RNAcentral.
UACAGAGGGUGCAAGCGUUGUUCGGAAUUACUGGGCGUAAAGGGCUCGUAGGCGGCCAACUAAGUCAUACGUGAAAUCCCUCGGCUUAACCGGGGAACUGCGUCUGAUACUGGAUGGCUUGAGUUCGGGAGAGGGAUGCAGAAUUCCAGGUGUAGCGGUGAAAUGCGUAGAUAUCUGGAGGAAUACCGGUGGCGAAGGCGGCAUCCUGGACCGGCAUUGACGCUGAGUGAGCGAAAGCCAGGGGAGCAAACGGG